This 465-nucleotide ribosomal RNA is filed under the name uncultured bacterium. RNAcentral describes it as "partial 16S ribosomal RNA". It matches the Rfam family "Bacterial small subunit ribosomal RNA", at positions 28 to 507 of the family's 1533-position model. The record is from RNAcentral.
GACGAACGCUGGCGGCGUGCUUAACACAUGCAAGUCGAACGGAAAGGCCCUGCUUGCAGGGUACUCGAGUGGCGAACGGGUGAGUAACACGUGGGUUAUCUGCCCUGCACUUCGGGAUAAGCCUGGGAAACUGGGUCUAAUACCGGAUAGGAGCCAUUUUUAGUGUGAUGGUUGGAAAGUUUUUUCGGUGUAGGAUGAGCUCGCGGCCUAUCAGCUUGUUGGUGGGGUAAUGGCCUACCAAGGCGGCGACGGGUAGCCGGCCUGAGAGGGUGGACAGCCACAUUGGGACUGAGAUACGGCCCAGACUCCUACGGGAGGCAGCAGUGGGGAAUAUUGCACAAUGGGCGCAAGCCUGAUGCAGCGACGCCGCGUGGGGGAUGACGGCCUUCGGGUUGUAAACUCCUUUCGCUAGGGACGAAGCUUUUUGUGACGGUACCUAGAGAAGAAGCACCGGCUAACUACGUG